Molecule: ribosomal RNA, 245 nt
Filed under: uncultured bacterium
Lineage: Bacteria
Description: partial 16S ribosomal RNA
Rfam family: Bacterial small subunit ribosomal RNA
Source: RNAcentral
UACAGAGGUGGCGAGCGUUGUUCGGAUUUACUGGGCGUAAAGGGUGCGUAGGCGGUCUCAUAUGUCGGUUGUGAAAUCCCACGGCUUAACUGUGGAAUGGCGACCGAAACCAUGAGGCUAGAGUGCAGGAAGGGAGAGUGGAAUUCUUGGUGUAGCGGUGAAAUGCGUUGAUAUCAAGAGGAACACCGGUGGCGAAGGCGGCUCUCUGGAAUGCAACUGACGCUGAGGCACGAAAGCUGGGGGAG